RNAcentral lists this ribosomal RNA (253 nucleotides) under uncultured bacterium. RNAcentral's name for it is "partial 16S ribosomal RNA". It matches the Rfam family "Bacterial small subunit ribosomal RNA", at positions 524 to 776 of the family's 1533-position model. The record is from RNAcentral.
UACGAAGGGGGCGAGCGUUGUUCGGAAUCACUGGGCGUAAAGGGCGCGUAGGCGGGCCAGCCAGUCUGUGGUGAAAGCCUCCAGCUUAACUGGAGAAGUGCCGUGGAUACUGCUGGCCUCGAGGAGGAUAGGGGCAUCUGGAACGGUCGGUGGAGCGGUGAAAUGCGUUGAUAUCGACCGGAACUCCGGUGGCGAAGGCGAGGUGCUGGGUCCUUUCUGACGCUGAUGCGCGAAAGCCAGGGGAGCAAACGGG